This 3820-nucleotide long non-coding RNA is filed under the name Nicotiana tabacum (common tobacco). Its description in RNAcentral is "long non-coding RNA (NTAB_LNC001606)". Lineage: Eukaryota; Viridiplantae; Streptophyta; Magnoliopsida; Solanales; Solanaceae. The record is from RNAcentral.
CAAGCAUCAAAUUAAAUAAUAACAUAAUAAAAAUAAUUCAAAUGUAUAUACUUGAAAUAAACUUCAACAAAAAAAAUAUAAUUUGCGUAGUACUAUACCCAUACUAAUAAAGCACUACUAUUUCAAGAAGUUCACAAGCAAUGAACUUUACAAAACCGAAUGUAUUUCAUCAAAUAAUAAUAAAUUGAAAAUUAAAUUUUGAACAUUAUUUAGGUCAAUAAAAAUUAUCUAGGCCAAAUUAAAUUUUGAACUUUGGGAAUCCUUGAGCAGUACCUUCUCCCCAACCAUGUAAGCAACAUCACAGACCUUCCUAUUGGCAUAACUCUUCUGUCUAGAGUGCACUAUGCGAAGCCGUUCCUGAAUCAUCUUAACCUUAUCCAAAGCAUCCCGGACCAAGUCAGUACCCAUUAGCCAACGCCUCUAAGUCAGAAUCCGGGCUAGAAACGACGCAUGCAUCCGUCGUCCGCUUGCCGACCGGCAGUAGGGGCCACAAUAUCAAUAACAAUAAACGUCACAAUUGUUCAAAAAGUAUGCAUCAUUCACGUCAAUAGGUCAAAUUGAUUUGUGGCCACAUUUUUAAUUGCAUCACUCGCAUUUUCCUGCACAUUCAAAAUGAAAUUAAAAAUUAGAAAAAAAAACCUAUAUAUAGUAUGCAUUGGUUAUAGCAACAUGUCUUACUAAUAACUAAUGAGGUUUAUUUCACUACUAAAACAUAACUAAGUCAAACACAAAAAAAGAGGUGCAAGCUAAGGAGAAGCAAAGUUGUGAAUUAAUAACUUGCUUACAUCCCAAAAUCACAGAAUGCUUUGCCUCGAUUUCGAUAUGAGCACAUGCAUAAUAAUAGUGAGAUUUGGAAAAGACAAGGAUUUCAACGUAUCCUACACUUGAAAGAGGUCAAAGAAUAUUCUAAUUCCCUUCAAAAGGUUUAGUACUUUGUGUAAGGGCAUAUUAUACCAAUUAUAUUCGUGAAAUAUAUUUUCCUUCCAUUCAUUCAUAACUCCUGUUAUUAUGUAAUGGAAUCAUCAAAAGCAAAUAGUUUAGAAAAACAUGGUCUUAUAAGUUUAGAGUGUGAAAUAUAAAUAUCUUUUCAAGACUCGGAGCAUGAGUUGAGCCAGAAGAAUGUGAUAGAUUUUGGCCACUCAUUCCUCGUACACUACUUGCAUCAACGGGUGAAGGAAGAUUAGAUCCGGCACACCCUUGUAUAUCAUGAAUAUUUAGUCCAGGGUUAUUUUGUACCAUUUGAACAAAAAAAUAUCGCAUUUCUUCUCUCAUUAUUUCCUUCAUUUCUUCCUUCAAAGAAGUUAUUUCAUUAGCAUGCUUUUGUUGAAGCUUGCUGAUUUCCUCAUCUUUUUUCAGAGAUCUUAUCGUCACCGAUCUACCAUAGCAUCUAACCGGACCAGGUUGCUCGUUUCCAAACACAAUCUUAAAUGCAUCAUCUGCUGUUUCUUGAAACUUUGACGAUUUUGAAGUUCAGACCGUUAAAAAGAAAUAUUACUGAAUAUCACUUAGUGGAUAUGCUAUAGAAAGUAAAAAAUAAUAACAUUUGAAUACAGAAAUGGAGCAGCUAUGCCGAAUAUUGUGUAGAAAUACAGUUGAAAAAUGCAAAAAUCCAGAAAGGCAGUGCAAAAAUAUAGAAGCACAUAGCAUACUGUGCUAGUGUGCUUAAUAGAACAAGUAAAGUUUCAACUGAACCUUUUGGAAUGUAAUACAUAUACUGAUUAGAGAAGUGGAAAUCAGUCUCCUUUGGUACCAGGUGACAGAUUUUCAGCUCCUCUGUGAUUUGAAAUUACCAUUACAUGACAGAAUUCUCAUAAUUUAUUGCUUAGUUAAUUCACUGCUUGUUACUUCUUUUCACAUCACUUAUUUUGCUAUUCUGGAAUCCGUAUGUAGCGAGUCCAUGCAUUAUAACUUCUGAUGGCUUUGUUGUAACCUAUGAAUGGUAAGAGACAUAACAACUUUAAGGAGUGUUUGAUUAUAGUAGUAUGACAUAUUUGUGGUAUAGAGGGAGUAAGUUUAUUUGGACUGACAAAAAGAAGAAACACGAACUAACCUAAUCCUUGAAAGAUUGAAUCGAUGUCUUGCCAAAAAUAGGAAAAUCUUGAUAAUACCAGUAGAUGACAGCUUAGUCAUGCUACGGAACUUAACUUCUUCCUCCUAGUAAAAUCUUUUUUCUUCUUCCACCUGAUAAAUAUAGAUAAUUUUCAGACAUGACCAACUUCAACUCAGUUCUGUACAAGUCCACACAUGUGAAUUGUGACCCCCACCUUCUAAAUGACCAUCCAAAAUAGCAGGAAUUCUCUUAACUUAAACACAAAUUUCACAUGUAGGUGUCAUAUGUGGAAGGGUAAAAAUUAGCUGAAGUAAUACUUACUUUGUCAAACACUAAUCACGUGGUAGAAAUUAUCUAAAAUAUGUUUUGACCAGAUCUGAUCAACUCUUUCUCGGCAACUUCACAGCCAACUUUCAGUAGCACAGAAAUAAAUCUCACAAUCUGCAAUUAAAAAGAAUAUCGAUAAGAACACAAAGAUAAAGGCUGACCUGAGAUUGUCAACUUAAUAAUUUAGCAAAGCUGCAAAGAUAAUUGGACAUAUAUGCUAAGAUUCUCUACUCAGCUUCUAUUUCACAUACUAAAAGCUGAUAAGAGAAGAUCAUAUUACGAAGUAUAUAACUUUGGAUAUCUUUUUGGCAUAACAUUAUUCAAAUAUAAAAUGAUCAAAUUGUAGAACAAUUGAAAGAUCAGCUCAUUGAAAUAGUAUAAUUUCUUAGUUUAAUUAUACGCCCUUAGUUGUAUAAAUAAGUAAAAAAAAAUGAUCUCAUGCUGCGUCUUCAAAAUCAAACUCAUCUUCUGAUAUCAAGGAAUAUUGAUUAAUACUCGAGCACAUAAAGGAGAAAAGCUCAUAGAAACAGAAAUACCUCUACGAAAUUUUAUAGUAUUAGAAAUUUAAUACGUCUAUCAAGUGAUUGCAAAUCAGAACAAACCAAAAGAAGAACUAAGGAAAUAGAAUUUUACACCCCAAGAAAACUCAAAUAUUAACUCUCAAACAAGAAUUCUGGUCAAGCGAUUUGCGUGUGACUAUCAUCUCUGACAAGGCUAUCCAAAAAUAGUUGACGAUUGAGUUUACUGGAGGUCGAACGGUGUUGUUGUUACAUAUUAUGUUACCUCAAAGUAUAGUGGAUAGCAGUUAAAGCUAGCUGCCUUAACUGAUUAGGGUAGGAAAACAAAACUUAGCAGAUGCCUCCCUUAAUCAUAAAAGAGUAAGAUAGCCCAUUUUGAGCUAAGAAGUUAUAAGAAUUGAGAACAAUACCAGUUUUGACUUAUGAGCUGUGAGAUUGUCAUAUUAGCUUAUAUAUAUGAUACUUUGAGUUUCACUACACUUACUUGAUAGCAUGCAUGUCUCUUUAAAAGUUAUUUUUGAGGGACCAGCCCCAAAAUAAAAUAUUAAUUCAAAGAAAGAAAAUAACAAGUUGCAAUGGCAACUUGUUUGCGAUAAGGGCGGCUAAAAUAAAGUUGCAAGUUGCAACAAGACCAAAACAGAAAUAAUUCUGGACGAUGCAAAUUGCAAAGAACAAAGCAUUUUUAUUGGUUGAAAGCUUGACAAAUUUUGCUAUAAAUAACAGGCUUCAUUCCUCAUUUUAAACACACCAAAAUAAGAAAGAAGUAAUAGAAGUUAGAGAGAGUAAUCCACAUAUUGCAGUCUAUGAGAUAAAUAGUGAGUGUGAGUAAUAUUGUAGUGAUGUGUUUUUAAUAAAGAGUAUUAUUUCUUUCAGAAUUGUAGUAGUCUCUUGAUACUACUAAGUUGUAAUAUUAUAGUGGUAAUAU